This 228-nucleotide ribosomal RNA is filed under the name uncultured bacterium. RNAcentral's name for it is "partial 16S ribosomal RNA". It matches the Rfam family "Bacterial small subunit ribosomal RNA", at positions 524 to 748 of the family's 1533-position model. The record is from RNAcentral.
UACGUAGGGUGCGAGCGUUAAUCGGAAUUACUGGGCGUAAAGCGUGCGCAGGCGGUUAUAUAAGACAGAUGUAGAAACUCCCCGGGCUCAACCUGGGAACUGCAUUUGUGACUGUAUAGCUAGAGUACGGCAGAGGGGGAUGGAAUUCCGCGUGUAGCAGUGAAAUGCGUAGAUAUGCGGAGGAACACCGAUGGCGAAGGCAAUCCCCCUGGGCCUGUACUGACGCUC